AAGUCGAGCGGACAGAUGGGAGCUUGCUCCCUGAUGUUAGCGGCGGACGGGUGAGUAACACGUGGGUAACCUGCCUGUAAGACUGGGAUAACUCCGGGAAACCGGGGCUAAUACCGGAUGGUUGUUUGAACCGCAUGGUUCAAACAUAAAAGGUGGCUUCGGCUACCACUUACAGAUGGACCCGCGGCGCAUUAGCUAGUUUGGGGGUAAAGGGUUCCCCAAGGGAAGGGUGGGUGGCCGCCCCUGGAGGGGGUUUUUGGCCCCCUUGGGCCUGGGACCCCGGCCCCAUUCCUUCCGGGAGGCCCCCAUUGGGAUUCUUCCGCAAUGGACGAAAGUCUGACGGAGCAACGCCGCCUGAAUGAUGAAGGUUUUCGGAUCGUAAAGCUCUGUUGUUAGGGAAGAACAAGUACCGUUCGAAUAGGGCGGUACCUUGACGGUACCUAACCAGAAAGCCACGGCUAACUACGUGCCAGCAGCCGCGGUAAUACGUAGGUGGCAAGCGUUGUCCGGAAUUAUUGGGCGUAAAGGGCUCGCAGGCGGUUUCUUAAGUCUGAUGUGAAAGCCCCCGGCUCAACCGGGGAGGGUCAUUGGAAACUGGGGAACUUGAGUGCAGAAGAGGAGAGUGGAAUUCCACGUGUAGCGGUGAAAUGCGUAGAGAUGUGGAGGAACACCAGUGGCGAAGGCGACUCUCUGGUCUGUAACUGACGCUGAGGAGCGAAAGCGUGGGGAGCGAACAGGAUUAGAUACCCUGGUAGUCCACGCCGUAAACGAUGAGUGCUAAGUGUUAGGGGGUUUCCGCCCCUUAGUGCUGCAGCUAACGCAUUAAGCACUCCGCCUGGGGAGUACGGUCGCAAGACUGAAACUCAAAGGAAUUGACGGGGGCCCGCACAAGCGGUGGAGCAUGUGGUUUAAUUCGACAACGCGAAGAACCUUACCAGGUCUUGACAUCCUCUGACAAUCCUAGAGAUAGGACGUCCCCUUCGGGGGCAGAGUGACAGGUGGUGCAUGGUUGUCGUCAGCUCGUGUCGUGAGAUGUUGGGUUAAGUCCCGCAACGAGCGCAACCCUUGAUCUUAGUUGCCAGCAUUCAGUUGGGCACUCUAAGGUGACUGCCGGUGACAAACCGGAGGAAGGUGGGGAUGACGUCAAAUCAUCAUGCCCCUUAUGACCUGGGCUACACACGUGCUACAAUGGACAGAACAAAGGGCAGCGAAACCGCGAGGUUAAGCCAAUCCCACAAAUCUGUUCUCAGUUCGGAUCGCAGUCUGCAACUCGACUGCGUGAAGCUGGAAUCGCUAGUAAUCGCGGAUCAGCAUGCCGCGGUGAAUACGUUCCCGGGCCUUGUACACACCGCCCGUCACACCACGAGAGUUUGUAACACCCGAAGUCGGUGAGGUAACCUUUUAGGAGCCAGCCGCCGAAGGUGGACAGAAUG
Molecule: ribosomal RNA, 1433 nt
Filed under: Bacillus subtilis
Lineage: Bacteria; Bacillati; Bacillota; Bacilli; Caryophanales; Bacillaceae
Description: bacterial SSU rRNA
Rfam family: Bacterial small subunit ribosomal RNA
Source: RNAcentral